UGAGAUGCCACACUUCAACUCUACUUAAGCUAUGUUUUCAGAGUUUAGCCAAAAAAAAUUUUCUAGAUUUAAACUAUUGUAGAUUUAUUUAUUUGUACAUACCCUGACCAUAGAAAGAGCAAAAGUUGAGGAAUAUAUAGAAGGUCACAGUGGUCUGCAUUGCCACUUCACAGUCUAUGUAUAUUCUUUAUCUUGAAAAAAAUGAGGUUAAAGCUACAGCAAAAAAUAUUUUAGGCUAUUGAGAGUCAGUGAAUUAGUCACUGUGGACAGACUGAAUUCUCUUCAAAAAUACCUUGACUCCCAACUAAUUUAUUAAAUUCAACACACACCUAAAUAUGAAUCAUGUAUAUUUUAUCCUUACUGCUUUACUAUAUUGGAAGACUAAUUUGACAUCAGUAUAUUUCGAACCUAUGGAUUCCAGGUCAGUGAAAUGCCACUUUCCAGGUUUCUAAAAACCUCUCUAGAC
This 466-nucleotide long non-coding RNA is filed under the name Bos taurus (domestic cattle). Its description in RNAcentral is "long non-coding RNA NONBTAT000517". The record is from RNAcentral. Lineage: Eukaryota; Metazoa; Chordata; Mammalia; Artiodactyla; Bovidae.